Molecule: transfer RNA, 73 nt
Filed under: Hermanssonia centrifuga
Lineage: Eukaryota; Fungi; Basidiomycota; Agaricomycetes; Polyporales; Meruliaceae
Description: Phlebia centrifuga tRNA
Rfam family: tRNA
About the family: Transfer RNA (tRNA) molecules are approximately 80 nucleotides in length.
Source: Rfam by way of RNAcentral
GAGACUGUAGCAUAAUCGGUAAUGCGUACCGCUCAUAAUGGUUUUUAUCUAGGUUCAAUUCCUUGCGGUCUUA